This 875-nucleotide ribosomal RNA is filed under the name uncultured bacterium. RNAcentral's name for it is "bacterial SSU rRNA". It matches the Rfam family "Bacterial small subunit ribosomal RNA", at positions 28 to 896 of the family's 1533-position model. The record is from RNAcentral.
GAUGAGCGCUAGCGGCAGGCCUAACACAUGCAAGUCGAGGGGCAUCAGGAACAAUAGCAAUAUUGUUUGCUGGCGACCGGCGCACGGGUGCGUAACACGUAUGCAACCUACCUCAUACAGGGGCAUAGCCCAGAGAAAUCUGGAUUAAUUCCCCAUAAUAUAUAGAUAAGGCAUCUUAUUUAUAUUAAAGUUUCGGCGGUAUGAGAUGGGCAUGCGUCCAAUUAGCUAGUUGGUGAGGUAAAGGCUCACCAAGGCUACGAUUGGUAGGGGGUCUGAGAGGAUGAUCCCCCACACUGGUACUGAGACACGGACCAGACUCCUACGGGAGGCAGCAGUGAGGAAUAUUGCGCAAUGGAGGAAACUCUGACGCAGCCAUGCCGCGUGAAGGAUUGAAUGCCCUAUGGGUUGUAAGCUUCUUUUGUACGGGAAUAAACCCUUGCUCGUGAGCGAGGUUGAAGGUACCGUAAGAAUAAGCACCGGCUAACUCCGUGCCAGCAGCCGCGGUAAUACGGAGGGUGCAAGCGUUAUCCGGAUUUAUUGGGUUUAAAGGGUCCGUAGGCGGAUCGUUAAGUCAGUGGUGAAAGCCCACAGCUCAACUGUGGAAUUGCCAUUGAUACUGGCGAUCUUGAGUGCGUGUGAAGUUAGCGGAAUGUGUGGUGUAGCGGUGAAAUGCUUAGAUAUCACACAGAACACCAAUUGCGAAGGCAGCUGGCUAACACGCAACUGACGCUGAGGGACGAAAGUGUGGGGAUCAAACAGGAUUAGAUACCCUGGUAGUCCACACCGUAAACGAUGAUUACUAGAUUUUGGCCGCAAGGUCAGAGUCCAAGCGAAAGUGUUUAGUAAUCCACCUGGGGAGUACGUCCGCAAGGAUG